Long non-coding RNA from Malaclemys terrapin pileata, 539 nucleotides. RefSeq lists it as uncharacterized. The record is from RefSeq and is a predicted model, not a curated record. The transcript is spliced from 5 exons. Lineage: Eukaryota; Metazoa; Chordata; Testudines; Emydidae.
CUGAAUACCAAGAACUCCUCACUCGAAUCUGCCGAAGCCGUGGCUGUUCAGCUCCUCUGAUAAUCAAUCCACUCGUUUAGAUGCCUGAAUAUGAAUGUUAGUGCCAGACUUUGGACAGUGACAUAGGAAGAUAUUGGCCUGAGCCUAUGCAUGGACUCUCAUCCUACAAUCCAGCCACUCAACAGAUACAUCCCAGCUUCUGACUGUGAGCCAUUCAGCUACAAUGGGGAGGCCUAGAUGCUAGGCCCACAUGAGAGAGGGAAGGAUUUCAGGCCCAAGGCCCAAGUGGAGCAGGAAGAAGCACACGCUCACCUCAGUUGCCUUCUUUGCUGAGGGCGCACUGUCCAGCACACCGGCAGACAGACCCAGAUCAGAAGGCCUGGACUUGUUACGCGAACGCCAGAAGGGCUGAGGUGCUGUUUCCCGAGGAGCUGUUCCAGGACUAGCGAGGAGCCUUUCCAAGCGUCACAGAAGGACGGGCCAGAGUUAACGUGGUAUCGAGUUGUUUGUUGCAUAAUAAAGCUGCUGCUGAUUUCCAA